Molecule: long non-coding RNA, 2334 nt
Organism: Scleropages formosus (Asian bonytongue)
Lineage: Eukaryota; Metazoa; Chordata; Actinopteri; Osteoglossiformes; Osteoglossidae
Source: Ensembl
GGCGCGCGCAGCCCCUUCCGGCGCGUGCCGGGGGGAAAACAGCGCGAAACGGCCCGCUGUGUCCCGGCUGUUCGACGCGCUCCCUGCUGCAUGCUCAAGCGCGUGCGUGUGCGCGCGCACGCACAGUGUGUGUUGGCUGCGCUGCGCCAUGGCCGCCGUGAGCAUCACGGAGCCUCUCUGCAAACCCACAGUGUAUGACGGCAGAUUCAGAGUGGAGCUGCAUGUGAAAAAGCCCCUGAUGCCCAUCCACUUGAGCAAGAAGCAGGUGCGACUGGAGAUGCUGUGUCUCUGCAGCCAGCUGGACCUUCUCAUUAGGGCUCAGUUUCAAGAGCAGCUCAAACAAGAUUGCAGCCCCGUGGAGUCGGACGCUUUCCGCCGAGAAGGCAGGUGACCCCAAAGCCUUCGCGCAAUGUUUCCGUGUCGUAAACGAUUCUUGCGGUGGCAUCCGAGUGGUUCCACACUGGGAAUCCUCUGCGUUCUCCACACAGCUGCUGAGGUCAUGGAGAAGAUGAUCCUUUGCCUGGAACACCUACCUGAGCCUGUUCCUCAGCUGGAGGACUACCUGGAUGCAGUGGGACUGUCGACCAUGUUCCCACGGGUGGAGGUCUUCAUUAUCCAUGGAAGUCCAGUGGACAUGCUGGAAAAGCCUGUCAUGGACGAUUAUUUUCCACACAUCGGGAAGCUGAACCAGUUGCUCGUUCUCAGCCAGCAGCUUGAGGACGAUGUGCAGCACCUGGGGAGUCAUAAGUACAUCGCCCAUCAGCUGUCCGUCAUUUACCACGUUCUCAGCUCCUUCAAAGGCAUCUUGCCAUUAUCAGUUUUGAAGAGGGACAUUGAGGCCAACUUCAAAAAUCUGAAAAUGGCUCUUGUGACGGAAGAAGGUUCAAAGCAGGAGCCCCAGUUACCAGCACACUAUGCGAACUGGAUACUAGAUGUGACUCAUGGCAUUAUAUCCACUGUGUCCACACUGCCUGAAGAACUGACCCAAGACCUCAGCCUAGCCAUGGGUUUUGUGUCCAACCUCACCUGACCAGGGUUGCCAGGGACCGUUCUUGAUUUGUCUUCUGUCUGUGGGGUGGAGUCACAUUUCAGCUCGUCUUCAUUUGCCCAUGAGUACAAAUUAUUUUAAAGGUGAAUAAUUUGCAAAGUUCUGUAUUUCAGUAUGUUUUUCUAGUAAAGAUUGAUUAGUACAACUGAACUAGUGGAUUAGUGUGGAUUGAUCUGUACCUGUAUGGGUCUGAGCUGGGAAAUAAUCAGGUGUUGCUGUACCUCUGCUGGCCAAUAGCAAAGACCAGUUGCUCAGGACUUCUUAUAUUAACUCAUUUCUUCCAGGGUCAUUAUAGUGUGUUUAGUCUUAAGAAAACAAUUAAUUACAUUUUAGUAUUGUGCACGGGGGGGUGCGGUGGCGCAGUGGCGCAGUGGGUUGGACCGGGUCCUGCUCUCCGGUGGGUCUGGGGUUCGAGUCCCGCUUGGGGUGCCUUGCGACGGACUGGCGUCCUGUCCUGGGUGUGUCCCCUCCCCCUCCGGCCUUACGACCUGUGUUACCGGGUAGGCUCCGGUUCCCCGCGACUCCAUAUGGGACAAGCGGUUCAGAAAAUGUGUGUGUGUGUGUGUGUGUGUAUUGUGCACAUACUAAACAAACAUUUUCCUUGUUAUUUUGGUGUAUUCAUAUACGGAGUGUGUAUUUGUUGCAGUUUCAGUUGAAACUAAAAUGACAUGAUUUUAGUAUUUAAUCUACUUGAAAUGUUAUAUAUCAUAACCUCAUAGCCUUUUAGCAGAUAUAAAACAAAAUAUUCUGCCUUCCAGUAUGGCUGCAUUUCUAAAAAAAUUGAUGAUUAUUUAUCAUAAACUGUAGCGAGAAUAUAGCAGAGGUUAAUCCAGUGUUCAAGGCACUUCCAGUCAGAUUUUUUUAGGCUAAAAUUUAGAAAAAUUAGUUUUCUUGAUAUUUGAACUACCAUGUCAAUUAGCUGUAAAAUAUGGUUAUAAUAUACAGUACAGUGGUGGGGGGUGCAGUGGCGCAGUGGGUUGGACUGGGUCCUGUUCUCCGGUGGGUCUGGGGUUUGAGUCCUGUUUGGGGUGCCUUGCAGUGGACUGGCGUCCCAUCCUGGGUGUGUCCCCUCCCCCUCCAGCCUUUCAUCUUGUGUUGCCGGGUUACGCUCCGGCUCCCCGCGACCCCGUAUGGGACAAGCGGUUUCAGAUAAUGUGUGUGUGUGAGUACAGUGUGUAUCACUUUCUGUAUACUUGGUGCAGUGAUGUUAGUUCAGUGUCUAGUUUUGCCUUGUUUUGCCUUGUUUCCGAGAAGUACAAUAAAGUCUAAAAAGGAUAAGAUUUCCA